CUGAACCAGCCAAGUAGCGUGAAGGAUGACUGCCCUAUGGGUUGUAAACUUCUUUUAUACGGGAAUAAAGUUAGGCACGUGUGCCUUUUUGUAUGUACCGUAUGAAUAAGGAUCGGCUAACUCCGUGCCAGCAGCCGCGGUAAUACGGAGGAUCCCAGCGUUAUCCGGAUUUAUUGGGUUUAAAGGGAGCGUAGGCGGAUGCUUAAGUCAGUUGUGAAAGUUUGCGG
Molecule: ribosomal RNA, 227 nt
Filed under: uncultured Bacteroides sp.
Lineage: Bacteria; Pseudomonadati; Bacteroidota; Bacteroidia; Bacteroidales; Bacteroidaceae
Description: partial 16S ribosomal RNA
Rfam family: Bacterial small subunit ribosomal RNA
Source: RNAcentral